This 77-nucleotide transfer RNA is filed under the name Myxococcales bacterium. RNAcentral's name for it is "tRNA-Cys". It matches the Rfam family "tRNA". From Rfam's summary of the family: Transfer RNA (tRNA) molecules are approximately 80 nucleotides in length. Their secondary structure includes four short double-helical elements and three loops (D, anti-codon, and T loops). Lineage: Bacteria; Pseudomonadati; Myxococcota; Myxococcia; Myxococcales. The record is from RNAcentral.
GGCGCCGUAGCCAAGUGGUUUAAGGCAGAGGUUUGCAAAACCUCCAUUCGCUGGUUCGAAUCCAGUCGGCGCCUCCA